This 435-nucleotide ribosomal RNA is filed under the name uncultured bacterium. RNAcentral describes it as "bacterial SSU rRNA". It matches the Rfam family "Bacterial small subunit ribosomal RNA", at positions 30 to 469 of the family's 1533-position model. The record is from RNAcentral.
AUUGAACGCUGGCGGCAUGCCUUACACAUGCAAGUCGAACGGUAACGGGCCUUCGGGUGCCGACGAGUGGCGAACGGGUGAGUAAUGCAUCGGAACGUACCUUUCAGUGGGGGAUAACGUAGCGAAAGUUACGCUAAUACCGCAUAUUCUGUGAGCAGGAAAGCAGGGGAUCGCAAGACCUUGCGCUGAUUGAGCGGCCGAUGUCAGAUUAGCUAGUUGGUGAGGUAAAGGCUCACCAAGGCGACGAUCUGUAGCGGGUCUGAGAGGAUGAUCCGCCACACUGGAACUGAGACACGGUCCAGACUCCUACGGGAGGCAGCAGUGGGGAAUUUUGGACAAUGGGGGCAACCCUGAUCCAGCCAUGCCGCGUGAGUGAAGAAGGCCUCGGUUGUAAGACUCUUUUCGGUCCCGGGAAGGAAAGUACGCAUGGGUUAA